GGGUGGCAGCAGUGGGGAAUAUUGGACAAUGGGGGCAACCCUGAUCCAGCCAUGCCGCGUGAGUGAUGAAGGCCUUAGGGUUGUAAAGCUCUUUCACCGGUGAAGAUAAUGACGGUAACCGGAGAAGAAGCCCCGGCUAACUUCGUGCCAGCAGCCGCGGUAAUACGAAGGGGGCUAGCGUUGUUCGGAUUUACUGGGCGUAAAGCGCACGUAGGCGGAUAUUUAAGUCAGAGGUGAAAUCCCAGGGCUCAACCCUGGAACUGCCUUUGAUACUGGGUAUCUUGAGUAUGGAAGAGGUGAGUGGAAUUCCGAGUGUAGAGGUGAAAUUCGUAGAUAUUCGGAGGAACACCAGUGGCGAAGGCGGCUCACUGGUCCAUUACUGACGCUGAGGUGCGAAAGCGUGGGGAGCAAACAGGAUUAGAUACCCCUG
Molecule: ribosomal RNA, 430 nt
Filed under: uncultured bacterium
Lineage: Bacteria
Description: bacterial SSU rRNA
Rfam family: Bacterial small subunit ribosomal RNA
Source: RNAcentral